UCAAACUUGGUCAUUUAGAGGAAGUAAAAGUCGUAACAAGGUUUCCGUAGGUGAACCUGCGGAAGGAUCAUUAUUGAAUAACUUGCCUUGAUGGGUUGUAGCUGGCCUCUUGAGGCAUGUGCACGCCUGUCUUGACUCUCUAUUCAUCCACCUGUGCACCUUGUGUAGUUCUUUUAACUCUGGAUUUGAGGAUUGCUUUUCCAGCUUUCCUUUUCCCUGGCAUUGUGCCCUGUCAGAGACAAAGGAGCUAUGUUUCUUAUCACACACUAUAAAGUAUGUUAUCAGAAUGUAUUCAAUGGGUCUUUGUGCCUAUAAAAUCUAUACAACUUUCAGCAACGGAUCUCUUGGCUCUCGCAUCGAUGAAGAACGCAGC
RNAcentral lists this unclassified non-coding RNA (373 nucleotides) under uncultured fungus. RNAcentral describes it as "partial contains small subunit ribosomal RNA, internal transcribed spacer 1, and 5.8S ribosomal RNA". The stretch from base 1 to 73 matches the Rfam family "Eukaryotic small subunit ribosomal RNA", at positions 1759 to 1831 of the family's 1831-position model. The record is from RNAcentral. Lineage: Eukaryota; Fungi.